Molecule: ribosomal RNA, 513 nt
Filed under: Triticum aestivum (bread wheat)
Lineage: Eukaryota; Viridiplantae; Streptophyta; Magnoliopsida; Poales; Poaceae
Description: partial small subunit ribosomal RNA
Source: RNAcentral
AUGAUAGAGAACCUACUUCCAGCAAUACAAGCAUCUUGGCCUGAGAAUGAUGUUGGGCAAACCAUCUAUAUACAGCAAGACAACGCUAAGCCUCAUAUCUUGCCUAACGACCUAGAAUUUGUAGCAGCUGUGGAAAGAACUGGAGUCGAUAUCAGACUAAUUCAACAACCUGCCAAUAGCCCAGAUCUGAAUGGCCUUGACCUUGGGUUCUUCAACUCGUUGCAAUCUCUAACAGAUUGUCUAAGCCCUAGAACGCUUCAGGAUCUUAUCAAGGGUGUGCUAGAUGAAUUUGAAAACUAUGAGGUUUACAAGUUGAACAGAGCUUUCCUAUCUCUACAAGCUUGCAUGAUUGAAAUCUUGAACCAUGCGGGGGCCAAUGGGUAUAAAAUACCCCAUGCGAACAAGGAAAGGCUAGAGAACCUUGGGAUGCUACCUCCAAGACUUACAUGCCCUCGAGAGGUAUAUGCAAAUGCCCUGCACAAUCUUGGGAUAAUGGAGAGAGUUGCUUGUUGA